This 642-nucleotide ribosomal RNA is filed under the name uncultured bacterium. Its description in RNAcentral is "bacterial SSU rRNA". It matches the Rfam family "Bacterial small subunit ribosomal RNA", at positions 61 to 745 of the family's 1533-position model. The record is from RNAcentral.
GUCGUACGAGAGUUUUUACUCAAGUGGCGGACGGGUGAGUAACACGUAAGAAUUUGCCUCUAGGAGGGGGAUAACAACUGGAAACGGUUGCUAAUACCCCAUAUGCUUUCGAGUGAAAUGGAUUUCCGCCUAGAGAGAAGCUUGCGGCUGAUUAGCUUGUUGGUGAGGUAAUGGCUCACCAAGGCGACGAUCAGUAUCUGGUUUGAGAGGACGAUCAGACACACUGGAACUGAGACACGGUCCAGACUCCUACGGGAGGCAGCAGUGGGGAAUUUUCCGCAAUGGGCGAAAGCCUGACGGAGCAAUACCGCGUGAGGGAUGACGGCCUAUGGGUUGUAAACCUCUUUUUUCAGGGAGGAAUUAAUGACGUGUACCUGAAGAAUAAGCAUCGGCUAACUCCGUGCCAGCAGCCGCGGUAAGACGGAGGAUGCAAGUGUUAUCCGGAAUCACUGGGCGUAAAGCGUCUGUAGGUGGUUUAAUAAGUCAACUGUUAAAUCUUGAUGGCUCAACUUCAAAAUCGCAGUCGAAACUAUUACACUAGAGUAUAGUAGAGGUAAAGGGAAUUUCCAGUGGAGCGGUGAAAUGCGUAGAUCUUGGAAAGAACACCGAUGGCGAAAGCACUUUACUGGGCUAUUACUAACA